This 249-nucleotide ribosomal RNA is filed under the name uncultured prokaryote. Its description in RNAcentral is "partial 16S ribosomal RNA". It matches the Rfam family "Bacterial small subunit ribosomal RNA", at positions 524 to 772 of the family's 1533-position model. The record is from RNAcentral.
UACGGAGGAUGCAAGCGUUAUCCGGAUUUAUUGGGUUUAAAGGGUGCGCAGGUUGUUUGAUAAGUCAGUGGUGAAAGUCUGUCGCUUAACGGUAGGAUUGCCAUUGAUACUGUUGGACUUGAAUAUGGAUGAGGUAGGCGGAAUGUGUAGUGUAGCGGUGAAAUGCAUAGAUAUUACACAGAACACCGAUUGCGAAGGCAGCUUACUAAUCCAUCAUUGACGCUGAGGCACGAAAGCGUGGGGAUCAAA